RNAcentral lists this transfer RNA (66 nucleotides) under Cypraea tigris. RNAcentral describes it as "tRNA-Met". Lineage: Eukaryota; Metazoa; Mollusca; Gastropoda; Littorinimorpha; Cypraeidae. The record is from RNAcentral.
UGUAAAAUAAGCUAAAUUUAAGCUGUUGGGCUCAUACCCCAAACAUGAACGGCAGUUCUUUUACAA